Hassallia byssoidea VB512170 is the source of this 74-nucleotide non-coding RNA. NCBI's taxonomy places the organism in Bacteria, Bacillati, Cyanobacteriota, Cyanophyceae, Nostocales, Tolypothrichaceae. The record is from Rfam.
GAACGUAUAGCUCAGUUGGUUAGAGCGCUACGUUGACAUCGUAGAGGUCACUGGUUCGAAUCCAGUUACGUUCA